CUUUUCGCUGGUCGCUCACGAGCACGCCCAGCGCGUCUCCGCCGCCGGAAUCACCGGGUGAAGACGAGCCCUUCCACGCUUUGCGCGCAGCCCGCCGCGCGGCCAAGCUCUUGGAUAAAGACUGCUGCCAGAUCAGAAAAGGAUGCGCAGGAGCUUUCACAGAAAAGGACUGAAGCUUGCAAGAAAAUGUAAGGCAUUUGAGGCAAAGCUGUCUUAUCUGCACCAAGACUCCUCUUCUCGCAGCACAAGGCACUAUCUUCCAGAGAGCUGCUACUUGCCCUGGCAUCCCUACUACUAUGUCUAGUAAUGUGGGUAGCACAUGUGUUUUUAGGUAGGCAACAUAGAUUAAUUCCUUUUUCCUCAGAGAAAACAUUGUCCUUACCCACUGGAUCUUCUAAGAUAAAAAUAUACCCAAAAGAUGCCCCAACAUAUAACAAGAACACAUGCUCCACUAUGUUCAUGGCAGCCAUAUUUAUAAUAGCCAGAAGCU
Molecule: long non-coding RNA, 490 nt
Organism: Rattus rattus (black rat)
Lineage: Eukaryota; Metazoa; Chordata; Mammalia; Rodentia; Muridae
Exons: 4
Source: RefSeq, a predicted model, not a curated record